GUAACCUAAGGUAAACAAAAGUGA
This 24-nucleotide non-coding RNA is filed under the name Gossypium hirsutum (cotton). The record is from RNAcentral. Lineage: Eukaryota; Viridiplantae; Streptophyta; Magnoliopsida; Malvales; Malvaceae.